RNAcentral lists this small RNA (244 nucleotides) under Rattus norvegicus (Norway rat). RNAcentral's name for it is "uncharacterized LOC108351525". Lineage: Eukaryota; Metazoa; Chordata; Mammalia; Rodentia; Muridae. The record is from RNAcentral.
GAUGAACAGCGAUGUGGAAGUCCUGGUGAUGUGAUUGGUUGUGUCGUUGGCCUUUAAGUAUUGAACCAACGUUCCAUUCCUAGGAGAAAUCCCAUCUGGUUAAGAAGAAGCUCAUGGUUACAAAGGAAUACUUGUUGAGUUUUACAGCAAAGAAACCAAUAUGUUUGAGGACCUGGAAGUCCCACCCUUUUCCUUCCACCAAGCAAUUGGCCCUUGGCAUCUUUACUGAUAGAUCAAGAAUCAA